RNAcentral lists this ribosomal RNA (439 nucleotides) under uncultured bacterium. Its description in RNAcentral is "partial 16S ribosomal RNA". It matches the Rfam family "Bacterial small subunit ribosomal RNA", at positions 339 to 795 of the family's 1533-position model. The record is from RNAcentral.
CUACGGGACGCUCCAGUGAGGAAUAUUGCACAAUGGGGGGAACCCUGAUGCAGCAACGCCGCGUGGAGGAUGACGCAUUUCGGUGUGUAAACUCCUUUUAUAUGUCAAGAAAAUGACGGUAGCAUAUGAAUAAGCACCGGCUAACUCCGUGCCAGCAGCCGCGGUAAUACGGAGGGUGCAAGCGUUACUCGGAAUCACUGGGCGUAAAGGACGCGUAGGCGGGUUGGAAAGUCAGGUGUGAAAUCCUACAGCUUAACUGUAGAACUGCACUUGAAACUUCUAAUCUAGAGUAUGGGAGGGGGAGAUGGAAUUAGUGGUGUAGGGGUAAGAUCCGUAGAUAUCACUAGGAAUACCUAAAGCGAAGGCGAUCUCCUGGAACAUUACUGACGCUAAGGCGUGAAAGCGUGGGGAGCAAACAGGAUUAGAUACCCUUGUAGUC